Molecule: ribosomal RNA, 253 nt
Filed under: uncultured bacterium
Lineage: Bacteria
Description: partial 16S ribosomal RNA
Rfam family: Bacterial small subunit ribosomal RNA
Source: RNAcentral
UACGGAGGGUGCGAGCGUUAAUCGGAAUAACUGGGCGUAAAGGGCACGCAGGCGGGCUUUUAAGUGAGAUGUGAAAUCCCCGGGCUUAACCUGGGAAUAGCAUUUCAGACUGGGGGGCUAGAGUACUUUAGGGAGGGGUAGAAUUCCACGUGUAGAGGUGAAAUUCGUAGAGAUGUGGAGGAAUACCGAAGGCGAAGGCAGCCCCCUGGGAAUGUACUGACGCUCAGGUGCGAAAGCGUGGGGAGCAAACAGG